CAACGUCUUGGUCCUAGCCUUGAAAUUACUUACAACUAAUCUUAUACAUGCAAGCAUCUACAACCCAGUGCAAACCGCCCAACCAACGGAGCAGAUAUCAGGCACACAUUAUGUAGCCCACAACAUCUAGCCAUGCCACACCCACACGGAACCCAGCAGUAAUAAACAUUAAGCAAUGAGCCUCCCACCACUUCAAGCUCGACUCAGAUAUAGUUCACCUAUUAAGGUCGGUAAACUCCGUGCCAGCCACCGCGGUUACACGAAGGACUCUAAAUAAUAUCACACGGCGUAAAAUGUGACUAAAAGAUAAUUUAACAUAAGGGACAUUAACCAAGACCUAGUCGUAAAAUAUAGACAUCUAAAGAACAUCACCUAGUCCCACCUACAAAUCACCUUUGACUACACGAAAUCUGAGAAACAAACUAGGAUUAGAUACCCUACUAUGCCCAGACAUAAACCAAGGUAGCAGCAUACACCCUAAGCUACUCGCCAGAGAAUUACGUGCAUCAAGCCUAAAACUCAAAGGACUUGACGGUGUCCCAUAUCAACCUAGAGGAGCCUGUCCUAUAAUCGAUAACCCACGAUAUACCUCACCCCCAAUUGCAAAACCUCCCACUAGCAGCCUAUAUACCGCCGUCGCCAGCCUACCUUAUGAGAGCAUAAACCAUAGUAAGCAAAAUAAUUUAUCACUAAAACGUCAGGUCAAGGUGUAGCUAAUUUGGGGGCAGAGAUGGGCUACAUUUUCUACCACAGAAUCCCCAAGCAACAUGAAACACUGCUCUAAGACGGAUUUAGCAGUAAACUGGAAAAGCACCGCCCACUUGAAAUCUGCUCUGGGACGCGUACACACCGCCCGUCACCCUCCUCAAUAAACAACUAAAAUUAUACUAAAUAAAAAACUACUAUAAAUCAGAUGAGGCAAGUCGUAACAUGGUAGUGUACUGGAAAGUGCACUUGGCAAAAA
RNAcentral lists this non-coding RNA (964 nucleotides) under Gekko chinensis (Gray's Chinese gecko). Its description in RNAcentral is "12S ribosomal RNA". It matches the Rfam family "Bacterial small subunit ribosomal RNA". Lineage: Eukaryota; Metazoa; Chordata; Lepidosauria; Squamata; Gekkonidae. The record is from RNAcentral.